ACACAUGCAAGUCGAACGGAGCUUAGAGAGCUUGCUUUUUAAGCUUAGUGGCGAACGGGUGAGUAACGCGUGAGUAACCUGCCCUAGAGUGGGGGACAACAGUUGGAAACGACUGCUAAUACCGCAUAAGCCCACGGUACCGCAUGGUACUGAGGGAAAAGGAUUUAUUCGCUUUAGGAUGGACUCGCGUCCAAUUAGCUAGUUGGUGAGGUAACGGCCCACCAAGGCGACGAUUGGUAGCCGGACUGAGAGGUUGAACGGCCACAUUGGGACUGAGACACGGCCCAGACUCCUACGGGAGGCAGCAGUGGGGGAUAUUGCACAAUGGGGGGAACCCUGAUGCAGCGACGCCGCGUGGAGGAAGAAGGUUUUCGGAUUGUAAACUCCUGUCGUUAGGGACGAUAAUGACGGUACCUAACAAGAAAGCACCGGCUAACUACGUGCCAGCAGCCGCGGUAAAACGUAGGGUGCAAGCGUUGUCCGGAAUUACUGGGUGUAAAGGGAGCGCAGGCGGGAAGACAAGUUGGAAGUGAAAACCAUGGGCUCAACCCAUGAAUUGCUUUCAAAACUGUUUUUCUUGAGUAGUGCAGAGGUAGAUGGAAUUCCCGGUGUAGCGGUGGAAUGCGUAGAUAUCGGGAGGAACACCAGUGGCGAAGGCGGUCUACUGGGCACCAACUGACGCUGAGGCUCGAAAGCAUGGGUAGCAAACAGGAUUAGAUACCCUGGUAGUCCAUGCCGUAAACGAUGAUUACUAGGUGUUGGGGG
This 765-nucleotide ribosomal RNA is filed under the name uncultured bacterium. RNAcentral's name for it is "bacterial SSU rRNA". It matches the Rfam family "Bacterial small subunit ribosomal RNA", at positions 51 to 829 of the family's 1533-position model. The record is from RNAcentral.